GAGUUUGAUCAUGGCUCAGGAUGAACGCUGGCGGCGUGCCUAACACAUGCAAGUCGAGCGAACUCUUCGGAGUGAGCGGCGGACGGGUGAGUAACGCGUGGGUAACCUGCCCUGUACACAUGGAUAACAUACCGAAAGGUAUGCUAAUACAAGAUAAAAUAUAUUUAUCGCAUGAUAGAUAUAUCAAAGCGUUAGCGGUACAGGAUGGACCCGCGUCUGAUUAGCUAGUUGGUGGGUAACGCCUACCAAGGUGAUGAUACGUAGCCGAACUGAGAGGUUGAUCGGCCACAUUGGGACUGAGACACGG
Molecule: ribosomal RNA, 307 nt
Filed under: uncultured bacterium
Lineage: Bacteria
Description: bacterial SSU rRNA
Rfam family: Bacterial small subunit ribosomal RNA
Source: RNAcentral